Molecule: ribosomal RNA, 254 nt
Filed under: uncultured bacterium
Lineage: Bacteria
Description: partial 16S ribosomal RNA
Rfam family: Bacterial small subunit ribosomal RNA
Source: RNAcentral
UACGGGGGGGGCAAGCGUUGUUCGGAAUUACUGGGCGUAAAGGGCUCGUAGGCGGCCAACUAAGUCAGACGUGAAAUCCCUCGGCUUAACCGGGGAACUGCGUCUGAUACUGGAUGGCUUGAGGUUGGGAGAGGGAUGCGGAAUUCCAGGUGUAGCGGUGAAAUGCGUAGAUAUCUGGAGGAACACCGGUGGCGAAGGCGGCAUCCUGGACCAAUUCGUGACGCUGAGGAGCGAAAGCCGGGGAGCAAAGCGGG